RNAcentral lists this long non-coding RNA (1287 nucleotides) under Gallus gallus (chicken). Its description in RNAcentral is "lncRNA (ENSGALG00000055043.2)". Lineage: Eukaryota; Metazoa; Chordata; Aves; Galliformes; Phasianidae. The record is from RNAcentral.
GGAGAAGGAGCAGCCGGCACAGCUGCCAGCCUUUCCCGUUGGGUUUCCAGGCAGGAGUAAAACAAUGGCUGCUGAGAUACGUUACAUGGAAUGGGAACCUGGACUACCUCUUGCACAAAGCUGCUGAGGAAAAGCAUACGACUUAGAGAUGCUUCCAAGUUUUCAUAUGGCAUUUUGUGAAAUUUCUGGAGCUGGAAGUCAAAAACACCACUGCCAACUCCGCAGCCAUGGGGCACGCUCCCAAGAUAGUCUGACAGUCUCUUUGUUCCAUUCACAACGUUGGAAUUAUGGGAUUCCUCUGGGAAGGACUGACUUGAUGCUAAGUGCCCUCUCGAAGUUCCAUUGUUUCCCCACAGAAACAGGUACCACUGAGAACAUCUCAGCUGUAAGGCUUCCUCCUUCACUCUCCCUCAGUGAUGCAGUACAGUACCCUCAUUCACACUGUGCUGAGUGAAGUGAGGGAUUUCUUUGUUCACAAGGCUGUGACAUCCACGCUCAGGCAGACACAAGCCAGGAUUAUUUGGCUGAAUGGAGCUACAGUUUAGGAUGGAAGUACUGAUCAGCAAAAGCACUGAGGAGUGCCUCUUAGAGCAUGAAAAGUUAGAAAAAACAAAACCUUGUCCCCAAAUCAUACUCAGAGACUCACCAGCAGCCUCUGCAGCACAGAUCAUUAUCAAAAGCUCCUCACUUAUAAGCAAACAACUGCAUAUUGCAUUCACUCCAUUUCCAAGUGCCCUCAAAACCUGCUGUAGAUAGAUUACUGUAGCUCCACUGAUAAAUAGUGCAUACUUUUCCUAUUUCUCCAAACUGAUGCACCACCUCUUUUUUUUUUUUUUUAACACUUUUUAUGAUUCACAUUCUCCCCUUAGUCACAGCAGUAAACAUCUAAUGCCACUGGGCUUACAGAGAUCCACUGCUCUGAAAUGCUCCCCUGGCAGCUGAGCUGGGUUACCAGGGUUGCUGUCAGCAGCCAGCCCUGGGAUAGAUGCAGUAUUACUGGCUUCAGAGCCAUUGGCAGCACACUGAAUGACUCAGUAAAGUCAAGAGCCUCAGCUACCACAACAAAUCUGCGUGGUCAGCAAUGCCCUCAGAUGCUGAGAGGUCACAACACUGGGGAGGCAGGAGAGGAGCAGCUCCAACUGCUCGCACUGGAGAUGCAGCAGGGAAUCUGGUUGAGGCCAGUGCUGCUGAUUCCCCCCCCCCUUCUACUUGGUGUAAGCAAGCAGAAAGACAUUUACUGUUUGUCAAUGUAUUCUUUUCAUUAGUUAAAAUAAAAUUCUGAGUGCC